Molecule: ribosomal RNA, 702 nt
Filed under: uncultured bacterium
Lineage: Bacteria
Description: bacterial SSU rRNA
Rfam family: Bacterial small subunit ribosomal RNA
Source: RNAcentral
GAGUUUGAUCCUGGCUCAGGACGAACGCUGGCGGCGUGCCUAAUACAUGCAAGUAGAACGCUGAAGACUUUAGCUUGCUAAAGUUGGAAGAGUUGCGAACGGGUGAGUAACGCGUAGGUAACCUGCCUACUAGCGGGGGAUAACUAUUGGAAACGAUAGCUAAUACCGCAUAACAGCAUUUAACCCAUGUUAGAUGCUUGAAAGGAGCAAUUGCUUCACUAGUAGAUGGACCUGCGUUGUAUUAGCUAGUUGGUGAGGUAACGGCUCACCAAGGCGACGAUACAUAGCCGACCUGAGAGGGUGAUCGGCCACACUGGGACUGAGACACGGCCCAGACUCCUAAGGGAGGCAGCAGUAGGGAAUCUUCGGCAAUGGGGGCAACCCUGACCGAGCAACGCCGCGUGAGUGAAGAAGGUUUUCGGAUCGUAAAGCUCUGUUGUAAGAGAAGAACGUGUGUGAGAGUGGAAAGUUCACACAGUGACGGUAACUUACCAGAAAGGGACGGCUAACUACGUGCCAGCAGCCGCGGUAAUACGUAGGUCCCGAGCGUUGUCCGGAUUUAUUGGGCGUAAAGCGAGCGCAGGCGGUUUAAUAAGUCUGAAGUUAAAGGCAGUGGCUUAACCAUUGUUCGCUUUGGAAACUGUUAGACUUGAGUGCAGAAGGGGAGAGUGGAAUUCCAUGUGUAGCGGUGAAAUGCGUAGA